This 469-nucleotide ribosomal RNA is filed under the name uncultured bacterium. RNAcentral's name for it is "partial 16S ribosomal RNA". It matches the Rfam family "Bacterial small subunit ribosomal RNA", at positions 27 to 507 of the family's 1533-position model. The record is from RNAcentral.
GGACGAACGCUGGCGGCGUGCUUACCCCCUGCAAGUCGACCGGAAAGGCCCUGCUUUUGUGGGGUGCUCGAGUGGCGAACGGGUGAGUAACACGUGAGUAACCUGCCCUUGACUUUGGGAUAACUUCAGGAAACUGGGGCUAAUACCGGAUAGGAGCUCCUGCUGCAUGGUGGGGGUUGGAAAGUUUCGGCGGUUGGGGAUGGACUCGCGGCUUAUCAGCUUGUUGGUGGGGUAGUGGCUUACCAAGGCUUUGACGGGUAGCCGGCCUGAGAGGGUGACCGGCCACAUGGGGACUGAGAUACGGACCAGACUCGUACGGGAGGCAGCAGUGGGGAAUAUUGCACAAUGGGCGGAAGCCUGAUGCAGCAACGCCGCGUGCGGGAUGACGGCCUUCGGGUUGUAAACCGCUUUCGCCUGUGACGAAGCGUGAGUGACGGUAAUGGGUAAAGAAGCACCGGCUAACUACGUG